RNAcentral lists this small RNA (1560 nucleotides) under Pongo abelii (Sumatran orangutan). RNAcentral describes it as "processed transcript". Lineage: Eukaryota; Metazoa; Chordata; Mammalia; Primates; Hominidae. The record is from RNAcentral.
CAGGCAGGAGCUACCACGCCCGGCUCUCCAUAUAUCUUCUGAACCUUAACUUGAGAGGAACACAAAAAGAAGUGAUACCAGAGUCAUGGAGGAAAAGCCACUGUCUCAGGAACUGAGACCAUGGGAGGGACAUGAUCACUUUUAGAAAGACACAGUCAGAAGAAAGAAGGAAAAAGAGAGGAAGAAAGUGGCUCCUCCCCCUUUUUCUAAUGCCUUGUCGUCAGAAUUUCACAGUACUCCUUGGCCCUGGAUUCAGGCAUGGCUGGAUCGAGAGGCUCAGAUAAUAUCUUCACUUCUUUUUGCUGUAGACUUUGGUCUUGCUGGUCACGUUCUUAGGUUGGCUCUUUCUAAGUGGUGGCUAAGUUGCCGCAAUAGUAUUAUUCUGCUCCACUUCUAGCCCACACAGCAUACCUCUGACAGAGGUGAUUGGGCCGAUAUGGCUGAUGCUGCUCCUGGGAACUGUGCACUGCCAGAUUGUUUCCACAAGAACACCCAAACCUCCUCUAAGUACAGGGGGUAAAAGAAGAAGGAAAUUAAGAAAAGCAGCCCAUUUGGAAGUACAUAGGGAAGGAGAUGGUUCUAGUACCACAGAUAACACACAAGAGGGAGCAGUUCAGAACCACGGUACAAGCACCUCUCACAGCGUUGGCACUGUCUUCAGAGAUCUCUGGCAUGCUGCUUUCUUUUUAUCAGGAUCAAAGAAAGCAAAGAAUUCAAUUGAUAAAUCAACUGAAACUGACAAUGGCUAUGUAUCCCUUGAUGGGAAAAAGACUGUUAAAAGCAGUGAAGAUGGAAUACAAAACCAUGAACCUCAGUGUGAAACUAUUCGACCAGAAGAGACAGCCUGGAACACAGGAACACUGAGGAAUGGUCCUAGCAAAGAUACCCAGAGGACAAUAACAAAUGUCUCUGAUGAAGUCUCCAGUGAGGAAGGUCCUGAAACAGGAUACUCAUUACGUCGUCAUGUGGACAGGACUUCUGAAGGUGUUCUUCGGAAUAGAAAGUCACACCAUUAUAAGAAACAUUACCCUAAUGAGGACGCCCCUAAAUCGGGUACUAGUUGCAGCUCUCGCUGUUCAAGUUCCAGACAGGAUUCUGAGAGUGCAAGGCCAGAAUCUGAAACAGAAGAUGUGUUAUGGGAAGACUUGUUACAUUGUGCAGAAUGCCAUUCAUCUUGUACCAGUGAGACAGAUGUGGAAAAUCCUCAGAUUAAUCCGUGUGUGAAAAAAGAAUAUAGAGACGACCCUUUUCAUCAGAGUCAUUUGCCCUGGCUCCAUAGUUCCCACCCAGGAUUAGAAAAAAUAAGUGCUAUAGUAUGGGAAGGUAAUGAUUGUAAGAAAGCAGACAUGUCUGUACUUGAAAUCAGUGGAAUGAUAAUGAACAGAGUGAGUUUUUAAAUUUUAUUCUUGUAGUUCAAGGGUAAGACUUAGUGAUUAUGUGUAAGAUAAUUACUGGAAUGUUAUAUUAGUAACCUUCUGACCUCAUUUCUUCACCCCGAAAAAAAAGUUAUAUGUGUAUAUUUGUUUCUGUCUGUAAUUCAAACAGUGAUUUGUCACCAAA